This 332-nucleotide ribosomal RNA is filed under the name uncultured bacterium. RNAcentral describes it as "bacterial SSU rRNA". It matches the Rfam family "Bacterial small subunit ribosomal RNA", at positions 568 to 898 of the family's 1533-position model. The record is from RNAcentral.
CGUGUAGGCGGUCGGGUAAGUGGAAUGUGAAAUGCCCCGGCUCACCCGGGGACCUGCAUCCCAAACUGCCCGGCUUGAGUAUGGGAGAGGAUGGAGGAAUUCCUGGUGUAGCGGUGAAAUGCGUAGAUAUCAGGAGGAACACCGGUGGCGAAGGCGUCCAUCUGGCCCAAUACCGACGCUGAGGCGCGAAAGCUAGGGGAGCGAACGGGAUUAGAUACCCCGGUAGUCCUAGCCGUAAACGGUGAUCACUAGGUGUUGGGGGCAUCGACCCCUCCAGUGCCGCAGCUAACGCAUUAAGUGAUCCGCCUGGGGAGUACGGCCGCAAGGUUGAA